UAGUCCACGCUGUAAACGAUGAGGACUAGUUGUUUGUAUGUUAUGUAUGAGUGACGCAGCUAACGCAUUAAGUUCUCCGCCUGGGGAGUACGGUCGCAAGACUAAAACUCAAAGGAAUUGACGGGGGGCCCNCACAAGCGGUGGAGCAUGUGGUUUAAUUCGAUGCAACGCGAAGAACCUUACCAGGCCUUGACAUCCUGAGAACUUUCUAGAGAUAGAUUGGUGCCUUCGGGAUCUCUGACACAGGUGCUGCAUGGCCGUCGUCAGCUCGUGUCGUGAGAUGUUGGGUUAAGUCCCGUAACGAGCGCAACCCCUAUCCCUAGUUGCUAGCAGUUCGGCUGAGAACUCUAGGGAGACUGCCGGUGACAAACCGGAGGAAGGUGGGGAUGACGUCAGGUCAUCAUGGCCCUUACGGCCAGGGCUACACACGUGCUACAAUGGUGCGCACAGAGGGUUGCAAACCCGCGAGGGGGAGCCGAAUCUCACAAAACGCAUCGUAGUCC
This 503-nucleotide ribosomal RNA is filed under the name uncultured bacterium. Its description in RNAcentral is "bacterial SSU rRNA". It matches the Rfam family "Bacterial small subunit ribosomal RNA", at positions 791 to 1294 of the family's 1533-position model. The record is from RNAcentral.